GGUCUACCGUGGGUCUGAUUGGAAACUGGGAGGUUGAGUGCGGCAAGGAAAAUGGAAUUUCCUGUGGAACGGUGAAAUGGCCCAAAUUAUGGGAGAACCCCCGGGGGCAAAGGGACUUUCUGGGCUGUAUCUGGACCUUAAGGGCCAAAGCGUGGGGAUCCAAACAGAAUAAAAACCCUGGUAAUCCCCGCCCGAAACGAUGAGUGCUAAGGGGUGGGGGGUUUCCCCCCCUUACUGCUGCACCUAUAACAUUAAGCACUCCGCCUGUGGAGAACGACCGCGCGGUUGAAACUUCAGGAAAUGACGGGGACCCGCACAAGCGGUGGAAAUGGGGUUUUAUUUCAACCAACCCGAAAAAACCUUACAAAGGUUGGAUCCUUUGAAAACUCUCUGGAGACAGGCUUCCCCUUUGGGUCACAAAGUGAGUGGUGGUGGAUGGCUGUCAUCUCCUGGCGUCGUGAGAUGGUGGGAUAACUCCCACAACGAGCGCACUUAUUCUGCGUAGCUGCCAUGAUUUUCGGGGUGACUCUAACUUGACUGCCGACUGACAAACCGGAGGAAGGAUGGAGAUGAGGACAAAUCAUCAUGCUCCUUGACGAUUUAUGUCUACACACUGUGCUACAAUGGACAAUGCAAAG
RNAcentral lists this ribosomal RNA (638 nucleotides) under uncultured bacterium. Its description in RNAcentral is "bacterial SSU rRNA". It matches the Rfam family "Bacterial small subunit ribosomal RNA", at positions 607 to 1244 of the family's 1533-position model. The record is from RNAcentral.